GGGAAUUCUACCACAAGCUGAGACUGAUAGAAAUAUUGUAAAGCCUUAUGGAAACCUGAAAGGCAAAGUGAUAGUUGUUACGGGAGCAUCUUCAGGCAUUGGUGAAGGUAUUAGUCGAACAUUGGCGCGAGCUGGUGCAAGAGUAGUUUUGGCUGCUAGAAGACUGGAUAGGUUUGCAGGCUAUAGUUGACUCACUGCGCAAAUCUGGUGCUGAGGCUACUCCAGUUCAACUAGACGUCUGCAAUGCAGAGCAGGUUUCUACUUGUAUGCAAGAGAUAGAAAGUAGAGUGGGACCAAUAGAUGUGCUGGUAAACAAUGCUGGAGUCAUGUUCUACCAGUUCAUGAAGAAAUGUGAUUUGGCGAGAUGGCAGCACAUGGUCAAUGUCAACAUU
Molecule: long non-coding RNA, 392 nt
Organism: Homalodisca vitripennis (glassy-winged sharpshooter)
Lineage: Eukaryota; Metazoa; Arthropoda; Insecta; Hemiptera; Cicadellidae
Exons: 3
Source: RefSeq, a predicted model, not a curated record